This 1500-nucleotide long non-coding RNA is filed under the name Equus caballus (horse). RNAcentral's name for it is "lncRNA (ENSECAG00000033351.2)". The record is from RNAcentral. Lineage: Eukaryota; Metazoa; Chordata; Mammalia; Perissodactyla; Equidae.
AUAUUUGGCUAAAAUGGCCAGACAAACCUUUGUUAAACAGCAAGCACAGCAUGUAACCCAAUCUUCCUCUUCUGCCCAGGCAGUCCCCGGAUCCUAGCCCUCAGCUGCAGACGUUCCAAGAGAACUAAGGACCAUGAGGAUGGUGGCAGCCAAAAGACAGUGGAAGCAGGCCAAGGUGGUGGGGCUGAGGAAAGGCUACAGCGACAAGAGAAUCGCAACUUUGGUCCUGUCAGGUGUGUGUGAGGACAUGAUGUCUAGAGUUGCAAUAGCCAUCUUGUGACCAUAAUGAGAAACCUGAGGAUGAAAGCCACAUACCAAGCAUGAACGAGAAAGGACAGAAAGCAGUGGGGGCUUCAAACAUCACAGAGUCACCAAACCAAUUGUAAGACUGGCUAUCUUAGGACAUUCAGCUAAGAAAAUAGAUUCACUACUGGGCAUGGAGCCCUUUCCUCUCUACAGUUUCUUUACCGUCCAGAUCUGCCAGCUGCAAAGGGCAGCCAUUUGCACUCAGACACACCAGUUGUUCCCUUUUUCAUGAGGGCAAGAAACAAUGAAACAGGAUUGCCUCAGGCAGACCAAGACUGACUACGGCUCGCAUACUCAAUCUCUCUCCCUCCUAUACCACAUUUUAUAUUAGUUUCACACAUUAUCUCAUUUGAUGGGGAAGAAGGAUUGAGGAACACAAAGGUCCAGACUCUUCCCUCUGUUCAAGACAAUUCUGAAGGGCCAUCCCGGCUUCAGAACUCCCCACGAGAUCAGCUGAGGCCUCUGUUGCAACUGCAUCAUAAUCAUAAUCCGACAUCUCCUUCUGCCAACCUUGUUUCACUCCCACCCUUAGAGGUGUUGUUCCUGGUAGCAUCUCCCAAUAAAAUUCUUGCGUAUGUUGAAGAACAACCAGAGCUAGACAGUAGUUAAAAUUUUAUUCAAUAUUUUUUAAUUCAAUAUUGCAAUAUUAUUUAUUGUAAUAGGAGAAAAGAGAUCUCAGUAUAGAACUAAGCUCAGUUCCAAAAACAACAAGGACAAGUGGGGAUUUACAGCCAAGGAGCAGGGCAGGGGUCAGUGGAUGGAAAACUGCUAAGAGGAAACAUCAGGGGUCAGAGGGGAUCCUGACUAAACCGACCUGACAAGAUUCUUCUGACAGCAGGCCAGGGUGAUAAAAUAUCACCUGGGGGAUGCUAGGGGAUGAAGAAUUUGAUUAGAUAUCGAAGGUGAUCAAAUAUGCAGGGUGGGGGAUACUCUCUAAACUGACUCAACAGGAUUCUUGCUAAAACUGGGUGAUGCAGGCCUGACAAGGACAGACACUGAAGCCCAAGGUCAAAGCCUAGUUGAGAAGAGGCCUUAGAGGAUCCUGACUAGAGUCUGGUCAAGGAGAUAGUCUUUGUCACAUGAAAACUUCUGUCUCUUUCUUGGGGAAUCUGACUUAUGACAUCAACCUUGAAUUAUCAACCAACUAUUUUUCUAGGCAAGCAUGCACACACGCAUACACUUCUGUCUAUUUUU